GUUUUCUACAAUGUCUUGCAACUGAUGGAAUUUUGGUCAAUUAGCUUUUCCAGUCACAAUGUUCCAAAAAUUAGAAGCCUUUUAAGAAGGCAUUGAGAAUCAAAAUGAAGCAGAUGGAGCCAUUGUUGUACUUUUCAAGCCUCCGGUAGGUAGCGUUGGGAGUGUAACUGUGACAUUUUCUACUAUGUAUGUGAUUCAAAUGGGAACAACUCCAGAUAUCCUUUUGAUAUGACUUAUUUUUGACAUUAAUCCUUGGUGGUGC
This 262-nucleotide long non-coding RNA is filed under the name Solanum tuberosum (potato). RNAcentral's name for it is "long non-coding RNA (STUB_LNC011150)". Lineage: Eukaryota; Viridiplantae; Streptophyta; Magnoliopsida; Solanales; Solanaceae. The record is from RNAcentral.